UACGUAGGGUGCAAGCGUUGUCCGGAAUUAUUGGGCGUAAAGAGCUCGUAGGCGGUCUGUCGCGUCGGCUGUGAAAUCCCGGGGCUCAACCCCGGGCCUGCAGUGGAUACGGGCUGGCUAGAGGCAGGCAGGGGAGAACGGAAUUCCUGGUGUAGCGGUGAAAUGCGCAGAUAUCAGGAGGAACACCGGUGGCGAAGGCGGUUCUCUGGGCCUGUACUGACGCUGAGGAGCGAAAGCGUGGGGAGCAAACAGG
Molecule: ribosomal RNA, 253 nt
Filed under: uncultured bacterium
Lineage: Bacteria
Description: partial 16S ribosomal RNA
Rfam family: Bacterial small subunit ribosomal RNA
Source: RNAcentral